UUAAAAAUUACAAAUAAUCUAAUGGAUACUUACAUAUAAUUAAGUAAGAAUUCGAUGGGCUAUAGCCAAGCGGUAAGGCAACGGACUUUGACUCCGUCAUGCGCUGGUUCGAAUCCAGCUAGCCCAGCCAUUUUUGCGGAAGUAGUUCAGUGGUAGAAUACAACCUUGCCAAGGUUGGGGUCGCGGGUUCGAAUCCCGUCUUCCGCUCCAAUAAAAUUUAAUAUGGCGGCAUAGCCAAGUGGUAAGGCAGAGGUCUGCAAAACCUUUAUCACCGGUUCAAAUCCGGUUGCCGCCUUUUCUUUUGUGCCGAUGUGGCGGAAUUGGCAGACGCGCACGACUCAAAAUCGUGUUCCUUCGGGAGUGUCGGUUCGACCCCGACCAUCGGUAUCAUGAACGGCGUAAUAAAAGACUCUACACCAAAUGUGUAGAGUCUUUUUAUGUUUUCAUCAUACUAUAAAAUAAGCAAAAAUGGUGUGUUGGUGAAAUGGUUAUAAAUGAUUAAGGUAAACUUAUUCAUUUAGUACAUGCGAUACAGUUGGGGAAAGCUACAAAACAAUAAAGGGAUAAAUUUUUAUCCCUUUAUAUAAUUUCAUUAUUUUAUAGAGAAUUUCUCCAACCUGGUGACAUGAAGUUAAAUCCGACGCCACCAGUAGAUAUUAGUACAUGAUCAGCUGUUAAUUUCGUAAUUUCUAAGAACUUCUUUUCAAACUCUUCUCUGUUGUAUUUGUACAUAGUUGAGUGGCAUGACCACAUGUGCGUUGAAGUACUCAACCAGUCUCCUAAUUCCUUUAAUUCAGGAAACGACUCAAAUCGAAUUGGUUCAUCUAAUUUCAUGAAUCUCACUUGAUAGAUAGUUGGGUUUAACUUCUCUCCUAUUCCUUUAAAAGCAUGUGAUUUUUUGUCUUUGGAAUGUGUCAUAAUUCACCCUCCACCUUUUCUUCAAAUUUUUUCCUAUUUUUAUUAUACAACAAUAGAAAACAAUUAUGGGAAUAAUAUGGAAAUCUUUAUUGGCAAUAUAAAAAGACUGUAACAGAAAUGUUAGAGUCUUUUUGUUAAAUUAUACUAUGUGCUUCUAAAAUUCGUAAUAAACGUAGGAAUUCAUGUAUAAUAUAACUUGUCGAAAGAACAAAAUGAUAGUGAUUUAUAUUAUGUCUGUAAUAUGAAUCAAAAAUGAACUUUUUAUAUUUCUUUUAAAAAUGUGUUGAACACACAUUAUAUUNNNNNNNNNNNGGGUGAUGGCGUGCCUUUUGUAGAAUGAACCGGCGAGUUACGAUCCCGUGCGAGGUUAAGCUGAAGAGGCGGAGCCGCAGCGAAAGCGAGUCUGAAUAGGGCGUUUAGUACGUGGUCGUAGACCCGAAACCAGGUGAUCUACCCAUGUCCAGGGUGAAGUUCAGGUAACACUGAAUGGAGGCCCGAACCCACGCACGUUGAAAAGUGCGGGGAUGAGGUGUGGGUAGCGGAGAAAUUCCAAUCGAACCUGGAGAUAGCUGGUUCUCCCCGAAAUAGCUUUAGGGCUAGCCUUAAGUGUAAGAGUCUUGGAGGUAGAGCACUGAUUGGACUAGGGGUCCUCAUCGGAUUACCGAAUUCAGUCAAACUCCGAAUGCCAAUGACUUAUCCUUAGGAGUCAGACUGCGAGUGAUAAGAUCCGUAGUCAAAAGGGAAACAGCCCAGACCGCCAGCUAAGGUCCCAAAGUGUGUAUUAAGUGGAAAAGGAUGUGGAGUUGCUUAGACAACUAGGAUGUUGGCUUAGAAGCAGCCACCAUUUAAAGAGUGCGUAAUAGCUCACUAGUCGAGUGACUCUGCGCCGAAAAUGUACCGGGGCUAAAUACACCACCGAAGCUGCGGAUUGAUACCAAUGGUAUCAGUGGUAGGGGAGCGUUCUAAGGACAGUGAAGUCAGACCGGAAGGACUGGUGGAGUGCUUAGAAGUGAGAAUGCCGGUAUGAGUAGCGAAAGACGGGUGAGAAUCCCGUCCACCGAAUGCCUAAGGUUUCCUGAGGAAGGCUCGUCCGCUCAGGGUUAGUCAGGACCUAAGCCGAGGCCGACAGGCGUAGGCGAUGGACAACAGGUUGAUAUUCCUGUACCACCUCUUUAUCGUUUGAGCAAUGGAGGGACGCAGAAGGAUAGAAGAAGCGUGCGAUUGGUUGUGCACGUCCAAGCAGUUAGGCUGAUAAGUAGGCAAAUCCGCUUAUCGUAAAGGCUGAGCUGUGAUGGGGAAGCUCCUUAUGGAGCGAAGUCUUUGAUUCCCCGCUGCCAAGAAAAGCUUCUAGCGAGAUAAAAGGUGCCUGUACCGCAAACCGACACAGGUAGGCGAGGAGAGAAUCCUAAGGUGUGCGAGAGAACUCUGGUUAAGGAACUCGGCAAAAUGACCCCGUAACUUCGGGAGAAGGGGUGCUUUCUUAACGGAAAGCCGCAGUGAAUAGGCCCAAGCGACUGUUUAGCAAAAACACAGCUCUCUGCGAAGCCGUAAGGCGAAGUAUAGGGGGUGACACCUGCCCGGUGCUGGAAGGUUAAGGAGAGGGGUUAGCGUAAGCGAAGCUCUGAACUGAAGCCCCAGUAAACGGCGGCCGUAACUAUAACGGUCCUAAGGUAGCGAAAUUCCUUGUCGGGUAAGUUCCGACCCGCACGAAAGGUGUAACGAUUUGGGCACUGUCUCAACCAGAGACUCGGUGAAAUUAUAGUACCUGUGAAGAUGCAGGUUACCCGCGACAGGACGGAAAGACCCCGUGGAGCUUUACUGUAGCCUGAUAUUGAAUUUUGGUACAGUUUGUACAGGAUAGGCGGGAGCCAUUGAAACCGGAGCGCUAGCUUCGGUGGAGGCGCUGGUGGGAUACCGCCCUGACUGUAUUGAAAUUCUAACCUACGGGUCUUAUCGACCCGGGAGACAGUGUCAGGUGGGCAGUUUGACUGGGGCGGUCGCCUCCUAAAGUGUAACGGAGGCGCCCAAAGGUUCCCUCAGAAUGGUUGGAAAUCAUUCGUAGAGUGCAAAGGCAUAAGGGAGCUUGACUGCGAGACCUACAAGUCGAGCAGGGACGAAAGUCGGGCUUAGUGAUCCGGUGGUUCCGCAUGGAAGGGCCAUCGCUCAACGGAUAAAAGCUACCCCGGGGAUAACAGGCUUAUCUCCCCCAAGAGUCCACAUCGACGGGGAGGUUUGGCACCUCGAUGUCGGCUCAUCGCAUCCUGGGGCUGUAGUCGGUCCCAAGGGUUGGGCUGUUCGCCCAUUAAAGCGGUACGCGAGCUGGGUUCAGAACGUCGUGAGACAGUUCGGUCCCUAUCCGUCGUGGGCGUAGGAAAUUUGAGAGGAGCUGUCCUUAGUACGAGAGGACCGGGAUGGACGCACCGCUGGUGUACCAGUUGUUCUGCCAAGGGCAUAGCUGGGUAGCUAUGUGCGGAAGGGAUAAGUGCUGAAAGCAUCUAAGCAUGAAGCCCCCCUCAAGAUGAGAUUUCCCAUAGCGUAAGCUAGUAAGAUCCCUGAAAGAUGAUCAGGUUGAUAGGUUCGAGGUGGAAGCAUGGUGACAUGUGGAGCUGACGAAUACUAAUAGAUCGAGGACUUAACCAU
RNAcentral lists this ribosomal RNA (3558 nucleotides) under Streptococcus pneumoniae. Its description in RNAcentral is "23S ribosomal RNA". The stretch from base 1145 to 3558 matches the Rfam family "Bacterial large subunit ribosomal RNA". The record is from RNAcentral. Lineage: Bacteria; Bacillati; Bacillota; Bacilli; Lactobacillales; Streptococcaceae.